Molecule: ribosomal RNA, 310 nt
Filed under: uncultured bacterium
Lineage: Bacteria
Description: partial 16S ribosomal RNA
Rfam family: Bacterial small subunit ribosomal RNA
Source: RNAcentral
AAGAGACAGCAGUCGCCGCGGUAAUACAGAGGGUGCGAGCGUUAAUCGGAUUUACUGGGCGUAAAGCGUGCGUAGGCGGCUUUUUAAGUCGGAUGUGAAAUCCCUGAGCUUAACUUAGGAAUUGCAUUCGAUACUGGGAAGCUAGAGUAUGGGAGAGGAUGGUAGAAUUCCAGGUGUAGCGGUGAAAUGCGUAGAGAUCUGGAGGAAUACCGAUGGCGAAGGCAGCCAUCUGGCCUAAUACUGACGCUGAGGUACGAAAGCAUGGGGAGCAAACAGGAUUAGAUACCCGUGUAGUCCCUGUCUCUUAUAC